GCUUUGAUGUCAUAUAGUAUCUGAACAGAGCAAUGUUCUUGAUGAUGCAGAUAAGAAACGUGGGAAGCCACAAGAAAGCCAAGUAGCCUGGGAAAAAGUGGUCAUUGAGCCAUGAGAAAAAAUUAACAUUUGAUCCUGUUGGUGCCACCUGAAGGCAGAGAUGGCUGAGGACCCCCGAGUGUAAGUCCAGAGAGCUCCCCUGCAGCCCCACCCUGACUUUCCAGGAUGAGCCUUCUCUAGGAAGCCACUGCUCAUUCGGAAAGUGAAGAACGCCUGUGUUUCCAACACCAACCCCAGCUCUGCUGACAUCUCAGGAUGGCAGGACCACGCGUGAUGGAAUACCAGGCAGGGGAGACUCAAAUUUAUAAGUUACAUGAGAUAUUUUGAAACAGGCACACAAUGCAUAAUCACAUCAGGGUAAAUGGGGUAUCCAUUAUGUCAAGCAUUUAUCAUUUCUUUGUGUUACAAACAUUCCAGUUAUAUGUUUAGUUAUUUUAAAAUGCACAAUAAGUUGUUGUUGACUGUGGUCACUCCAUUGUGCUAUCAAAUAGUAGAUCUUAUCUUAUUCAUUCUAUCUAACUAUAUUUUUGUAUCCAUUAACCAGCCCCACUUCUCACUUCUCCAGCUUCCAUUCCCAGCCUCUGGUAACCAUCAUUCUACUAUCUAUCUCCAGGAAUUCAAUUGUUUUAAUUUUUAGUCUCCACAAAUCAGUGAGAACACGCAGUUUAUCUUUCUGUGUCUCUCUUAUUUCACUUAACAUAAUAUCCUCCAGCUCCAUCCAUGUUGCUGCAAAUGAUAGAAUCUCAUCUUUUUUUCAAUUGCUGAAUAGUACUCCGAAACAGUGUGUAUUUGGUAAGUGCUGAUAUAUGUAAACACCACUGAAGUCUUCAGCAAAAUCAGAAUAAUGAACAUGUGUCAAUCCCAAAAACUUCUAUCUGUCUUCUUUGUAUUUCAUUUCUCCCAUCCCUCUACCCCCAUCCCCCAUCCCCAGGCAAAACUAAUCUGCUUCCUUUAUUUACUAUUGGUUAGUUUGCAUUUUCUAGAAUUUUGUAUAAAUAGACUCAUAUAGAAUGUACUCUGUUUUGGUCUAGUUUCUUUAAUUUAGCAUAAUUAUUGUGAGAUGCAUCUAUGUUGUUGCAUACAUCUUUUUUUUUUGCUGAGUAGUAAUCUAUUGUAUAAAUGUAACACCAAUUUACUAUUUCAUUGAUAGAUAUUUUAGUUGUUUCCAAGUUUAGUUUAGGUUAUUACUUAAACAUGAAAUUAUGAAUGUUCAUGUUUAAGUCAUUGUGUGAAAACAUGCUUUUAUUAUUUUUGAAUAUAUACCUAGAAGUAAAAUUGUUGGAUCAUAUGGUUAGUAUAUGUUUACUUUUCUGGGAUAAUGUCAAUGUCUUAGUAUAUAUUCUAGAUGUUGUUUUUUCUUGUUACUUUACUUUUUAAUCAAAAUAAUCUGUCAAUAACUUUAGAGAAGUAAAAUUUUCUUCUAGAAUUCCCCAU
RNAcentral lists this long non-coding RNA (1494 nucleotides) under Homo sapiens (human). RNAcentral's name for it is "long intergenic non-protein coding RNA 2392". The record is from RNAcentral. Lineage: Eukaryota; Metazoa; Chordata; Mammalia; Primates; Hominidae.